RNAcentral lists this ribosomal RNA (427 nucleotides) under uncultured bacterium. Its description in RNAcentral is "partial 16S ribosomal RNA". It matches the Rfam family "Bacterial small subunit ribosomal RNA", at positions 355 to 774 of the family's 1533-position model. The record is from RNAcentral.
UGGGGAAUAUUGCACAAUGGGCGCAAGCCUGAUGCAGCCAUGCCGCGUGUAUGAAGAAGGCCUUCGGGUUGUAAAGUACUUUCAGCGAGGAGGAAGGCGUUGUGGUUAAUAACCGCAACGAUUGACGUUACUCGCAGAAGAAGCACCGGCUAACUCCGUGCCAGCAGCCGCGGUAAUACGGAGGGUGCAAGCGUUAAUCGGAAUUACUUGGCGUAAAGCGCACGCAGGCGGUCUGUCAAGUCGGAUGUGAAAUCCCCGGGCUCAACCUGGGAACUGCAUCCGAAACUGGCAGGCUAGAGUCUUGUAGAGGGGGGUAGAAUUCCAGGUGUAGCGGUGAAAUGCGUAGAGAUCUGGAGGAAUACCGGUGGCGAAGGCGGCCCCCUGGACAAAGACUGACGCUCAGGUGCGAAAGCGUGGGGAGCAAACA